Molecule: long non-coding RNA, 4278 nt
Filed under: Salvia miltiorrhiza (redroot sage)
Lineage: Eukaryota; Viridiplantae; Streptophyta; Magnoliopsida; Lamiales; Lamiaceae
Description: long non-coding RNA (SMIL_LNC000706)
Source: RNAcentral
GUUGGGAUCUCCGCAGAAAGAUUCCAUGAAGUAAUGAGGGUAGCAAAGCCUAUCCUUUCACUGCAUGCAAAGCAUGCAGUUACCCAGGAAGAGCUCAUCAAUGGAAUCAAAGAUGUAGAUGGUGUUGAGGGAGACAAAAGAAGGCAACCUGCACUUCUCAGACUUGCUCUAGAUGAUGUGGUAAGUUAUAGUAUUGUCUACAACAGCAUCUGGUGCCGUCCUUCCUUUGCUUGCGAUGACAUGAUUCUCGUCCUUAAAGAUAAAGAAAUGACCAAAUGUUCUGCUAAAUGUAUUGUAUCAGCUUGAUUCUCUGAAGCCCAAGGAGAGUUUGGUGAUCAGACAACGGUAUGGGCUUGAUGGUAAAGGAGAUAGAACACUAGGAGAAAUUGCAGGAAAUCUCAACAUUUCCAGGGAAAUGGUUAGGAAGCAUGAAGUGAAGUCUCUCAUGAAGCUCAAGCAUCCAGCUCGAGUUGAUUACCUUCGUCGCUACAUUUUCUGAACUGAAUGUUGCUUCUGCAUACACCAAACAUCGUCUAGAAAUCGUGUGUACCAUAGUUUAGCAUUACUUGCACAUAAGUAUCAGUUGACAUGUAUAACCCAUUUUUCUGAAGGCAUAUUUGCCUCAGAGUUUUCAUCUUCAAUUUUCUGUGUUGCGUUUACUCACGUGAUAUAGAAAGAGAUAAAUGAAAGAAUAUUUCAAUCUCGUGCAUUCAAUCUUAGAGACUCCAAAGUUGCAUAUAUCAUAUCAGAGUUUGGAUGGUUUCUACAGCUCACCAAAAAGACAUGGCUUCUGCUGUUUAUAUCAAUCCAACUACAUCCAGGAUCCUUCUUAAACCCCUGUUGUUUCAACGCCUCCCUCAGCUUGAGCUUCUUCCCCCACUUCCCCAUCCCCGAAUACAUGUUCGACAUUAUAAUGCACGCAGAUUCUGAGUUAGGAUCCAAAGCCUGCAAUCUCCGAGCCACUCGUUCCGCUACUUCCAUCUCAAUCCACGACCAACUAGCAUGCAGCAGUAUCAUCAGAACAAUCUUGUCUGCUGCAACUGGCAUCGACUCUACAACUUCUUCGGCUUCAUGUACGAGCCCUGAUCGUCCGAGGAGUUCCACGACACAUGUCAAGUGCUCCCGCGUUGGACUUAUACCAUACUGCUCCUUCAUUGAUCGGAAAAUUGCCACUCCCUUGUCUACUAUACCUGCUCUUGCACAAGCAGAUAAGACGGCCACAAAAGUUGCUGCAUUUGGAGUCACGCCCCUCUCUAGCAUGAGACUGAAUAACGACACCGCAUCAAAGCCAAGGCUGUGCUGCGCAUGCCCGUUGAUCAGCGCCGACCAAGCUGCCACAUUGGGUGAGGAAACGCAGCUGAACGCGCCCCUUGCGUCUGCAAUGCUUCCGCAUUUUGAAUACAUGUCGAUGAGGGCUGUUCCAGCACAGAUAUUGGAGGAGAAGGGAGUUUUCGCCAAAUGGCCGUGGACCACUUGUCCCUGCUGAAGAGAUCCCAAGCAGGCACAGGCGUAGAGCAACACGGCGAAGGUGGAUGCAUUCGGACUCAUGGAUGAUCUACACAUGGUUAGGUAGAGAUCCAAUGCAUUCUCAUGCUGAUCGUUGUGAAUAUACCCAGAAAUCAUAGAGUUCCAACUAAUGGGGCUUCCUUCUAACUUUGCCUUGUCAAAAAGGUCCAAAGCUUUGUCGACCUCACCAUUCCUCGCAUACACAGAGAUCAUGGUGUUCAGAGAGCUCAAGACUUUGAGUGGCAUCUGCAUAAACAACCUCUUUGACUCCUCAACUCGACCACACCUUGCAUAAGCUUUGAUCAUCAGAUUGUAAGACACCGAAUCUUUGUUUCGCAUACUGCUGAAAAUCAACUCAGCUUCUUCCAUGGAUUCACAGCUACAAUACAAGAAAACCAGGGCGCUACCAAUGGAACACUCAUCUUCAAACCCUAAUUUUAUAACAAGCCCAUGAAUCAGCCUUCCACUCAUGAGAUCCCACAUCCUACCACAGCCUCUCACUACGCAAUCCAAAGUGAACUCAUUCGGAGUAGCCUCGCCAUUCUCUCUCAUCAUCUUGAACACCUCCAAUGCCUUGCUGCACCCAGCCUCGCUCUUCACGUACCCCGAAAUCAACGUAGUCCACUCCACCACGCCGCGUCUCGGCAUUUGAUGGAAGAUGCUCUGAGCUUCAGCCAUUGAGUUACACUCAACAUAACCAACCAACAUCAAACUCCACAACAACUCGUUUUCUUGGUGUAAUUCAUCGAAGAGUUUCCGGCCGUCGCCGAUAUGGCAAGAGUUAGCAUACAAGUACAACAAGCCGCUUCCGACAAGCUUGAAUCUUUGAUAUCCAGAUUUCAUAAGCAGCCCUUGAACCUGCUUCCCGUUGAUCAACGACAUCGCCCGGCCACAGACGCUGAGUGAGGUGGAAAAUGUGGUGUCGUUGAACUUGACGUUGGAGUGAUGCAUGAGCGAGAUCAAGCCUAGGGCGCUGGUGGUGAAAUUCCAUUUGUAGUAGCCGGUAAUCAUGGUGUUCCACGAGACGACUGUUCGUUGGGGCAUUUUGUCGAACAUCUGGCGGGCAUGGUCUAGAUCCCCGUUUCGCCAGCUGAAUGUUAGAGCUUUGUUUGUGGGGACGCCGCCGGAUUCUGUGGGAGUUAUGGGAGUCUGUUUCCAUCGUAGGUGCUUGGAGGUGGCGUUCAACUUAAACAGGUGGCGUAGUUUGUUUUCGUUGCGAUUAAGCAUAUUUGUUUAACUAGUGCGUAACCCGUCUAAAUUCGACGGGGAGCCACUUUAUGUUGUAAUUAUUAUUGUACAUUUUUUUAUUACAACAUAUAAAUAAUUUUUAUAUAAAUUAUUUAAAAUUUUAAUUUUAUUUUAUCAAAAUAAAUUGCUAGUAUAGAUCAAGCCUUUUGGCUAGUUAUAGUUCUUAUUGAGAGUUAAAAUAGAUUGUCUUUUUAUACAUUAUUUGAUGAAAUUUCAUAAAAAGUUGAUGUAAGCUUGACGAUUUUAAAAAAUAAUAAGAAAAAGAUUUAGGUCUAUUUGACAUAAUAUAUGAUGAAGAAUUGACACAUCGUAUUUUUUUGUUAAUUAUAUAUAAAAAAAUUACUAAUUUUCAGGAGUGUAAUUUUUAUAAAUUGAUAGACAAAAUUUAAGACCAUGUCUUAUAUAUGAAUAUCAUCUCAUCGGAACCUUACAAAACUUUUGAACAUCAUCUUAUCUGUAGCUUGAAAUAUCACAUUAAACUUUGUACAUUGAACUUCUAAUCAUUAUCUUUUUUGAAGAUUGUUAUAUGAGAUUUGGCUUAUGGGUAUCAUCUCAUCUUAUUCUUGAAAAGAUAAAACUUAACUCGUAAGCAACAUCUCAUUUGGAGCUCAUAGACCAUAACUGAUUUGUGAGCAUCAUCUCGUGCGAAGCUUAGAAAAACUAUAACUAAUUUGUGUAGCAUCUUCUUGUGUGGAACUUGAAAGACCAUAACUGAUUUGUGAACAUCAUCUCGUCUAUACUUUGAUAGACAGAGCUUAGUUCUAAGCAUUACUCACUUGGAGCUUGAAAGGCUGGAGCUGAGUGCUAACCAUUAUCUCAUUUAAAGCUUCAAAGGCCGAAAUUAAGUUGUGAACAUCAUUUUGUUUGGAACUUGACAAACUAUAUCUAAUUUGUGAGCAUCAUAUUGUUAGAAGCCAAAAUACUUGUAAGACUAUAACUGACUUGUAAGCAUCAUCUCAUGUAGAACUUGAAAGACUAUAUAAUUGACUUGUAAGCAUCAUCUCGUUCAUAGUUUGAUAGAUUGAAGCUGAGUUCUAAGAAUCAGNUUUAUUUCUGAUUCUAUUCCAGAUAGGUCCAUGUAUUCCUCGAAUUGUUUUGCCGAAACAUUUUUAUGCAAUGUAAAGCGUGAUCUAAACUAUUUCUCGAUACAGGUCCGAGCUGAUAUUCAAAGGGCCAAGCUAGAGUUGUUGUUUGAACUUCAGAGAUUGCCAACUGAUGGAGAAAUUAUAGAUCGAGUUGGGAUCUCCGCAGAAAGAUUCCAUGAAGUAAUGAGGGUAGCAAAGCCUAUCCUUUCACUGCAUGCAAAGCAUGCAGUUACCCAGGAAGAGCUCAUCAAUGGAAUCAAAGAUGUAGAUGGUGUUGAGGGAGACAAAAGAAGGCAACCUGCACUUCUCAGACUUGCUCUAGAUGAUGUGGUAAGUUAUAGUAUUGUCUACAACAGCAUCUGGUGCCGUCCUUCCUUUGCUUGCGAUGACAUGAUUCUCGUCCUUAAAGAUAAAGAAAUGACCAAAUGUUCUGCUAAAU